GUGCCAGCCGCCGCGGUAAUACCGGCAGCCCGAGUGAUGGCCGAUCUUAUUGGGCCUAAAGCGUCCGUAGCUGGCUGCGCAAGUCCGUCGGGAAAUCCACUCGCUUAACGAGUGGGCGUCCGGCGAAAACUGUGCGGCUUGGGACCGGAAGAUCCAAGGGGUACGUCCGGGGUAGGAGUGAAAUCCCGUAAUCCUGGACGGACCACCGAUGGCGAAAGCACUCUGAGAAGACGGCUUCGACGGUGAGGGACGAAAGCUAGGGCCUCAAACCGGAUUAGAACCCUAGUGUCC
Molecule: ribosomal RNA, 291 nt
Filed under: uncultured bacterium
Lineage: Bacteria
Description: partial 16S ribosomal RNA
Rfam family: Archaeal small subunit ribosomal RNA
Source: RNAcentral